UUAGGGUUAGGGUUUGGGUUAGGGUUAGGGUUAGGGUAGGGUUAGGUGACCAGAUUUCUUCAAUGAAAUCCGGGGACAUCCAGAGGGGGGGUGGGGGGUGGGGUGUCAUAGUAGGGCACACCACCCGUAAACUCCUCUCCGUAAAAACUGUUUUUUAGGACUGCGCACAACAUGCUUUCUCAUGCUUCCUACCAACUCGCAGCUACUGUAAUAACUGUUGUUGUUGUCAACACGCAAUAUUUUUGGUCUCGUUCAUGAAACGCUUAAACACUGUGGUGACCGAGCCUUUUCAGUUGUUGGUCCCAGGCUCUGGAAUAAGCUUCCCACCAAAAUGAGACUUAUUGCUGACCUGCGCCUUUUAAAAUCUCGAUUGAAAACGUAUUCAUUUUAAUACCCAGUAGUUUGGUGACAUUUUAUUUUAUUGCAUCGUAUCUUAUUCUUUUUUUAGUAUUUUUAUUGUUUUUAUUUAUUCAUUUUUACUAUGUAUUGUAAAGCACUUUGGUUCACCGAAAGAGUUGUUGUAAAGGCUGUAUAAAUAAAUAACAUUUGCAUUUACAUUUACGAGGACAGCUUUAGCCGGGGACAGGUCAUCGAUUACGGGGACUGUCCUCGGUUAGGGUUAGGUCUAGAGUUAAUGAGAAAGCAUGUGAAAAUGCUCACCUUUGCAGCACGAGUGGGAAAAUUCCAGCAGUUUGGUCUCUGCUUCAGCUUUUUACAGGUUGCCAGGUUAUCCAUUAGAAAAUUGGAGUCAGCAAAUCCACCAUGGUGAAAGUUUUUUUUCAACCAAAAGUAAUUUACUCUUCUCUCCUUUAAAAGUUUCUGUCGGUAACUUCCAGAAUAGAAUAGAAUAGAAUAUUCCUUUAUUGAUCCCCCAUGGGGGAAAUUUUUUUGUCACAGCAGCAUCACAGACAAGACAAAAAGUGCAAAAAUGCAGUUAUAACAAUAAGGGUCCUAAUAUUAAGAACUUAAAUAAAUGCAAUAAUUAAGAAAAAAAUUAGAAAAGGGAGAAGAAAAAAUAAAGCUUUCUACAAUAUACACAAUUUAAAUGUCAUAAGAAAAGUGGUGGUGUAAAAUCAGUUUUGUUACUGUUCAUUGUAAAGUCUUAUUGCAGAGGGGAGGAAUGAUCUGCGGUAGCGCUCCGUCCUGCAGGGUGGGAGUCUCAGUCUGCUGCUGAAGGAGCUGCCUAAAGCCCCCACAGUCUGGUGCAGUGGGUGAGAGGGAUUGUCCAUGAUGGAUACAAGCUAACUUCCAGUUUGUAACGGUUUUGGCGCCCCCUGUGGCCACUUCGCACCUCUUGUUGCUAAAUUUGUUUUGCGCAUGUGUUAAUUCACAAAAAAACUCACCCAGCUAACCUUCAGUGGUGUCAAUCAGUCAAUCUUGGCUAUCAAAAUUGUUCAAAAAGGCCGUUUUGGCCCGUGUCUCCCCUGCCCGUUGUUCGAUGCUGAGCAGGUAGCACAAAGAAAGUUUUUACAGCUUCAGUGCCGAAAACCUGCUGUGGUUGAAAACAACGUGAUGAGAGCAGUGAAUGGGAAUAGAAACAAUGAAGUUUUGAACCAAACAUCUAAAGAAUGAGCUGAAACCGGCUUUAAAGCAUCAUAAAGCCGAGGGGAGCUGCACAUUCAGGUAUUUAUUCCCAUAUUGCAGCUGCAGCUUGAGGGCUCUCCAAUUAGGGAGGCCGAGUUAAAAGAUGGAAUAAACACUAGCUUUUUACGCGAUGCCAUUAUCACACUGCUUUUACAGCAAAGGGAGACGGAAAAUUUUCACACUGAACUCAUGUUCUAUCAGAUUCUUAUCUUCGCAUAUGAUUGAACUUUUUAAAGGCCUGGAGGAACAGACUAGAAGUGUGAGGUUUGAUGUGAUUCACAGGGGAAAAAAAGAGAGAGUUUAGGUGCAUUACGAGAAAUGUAUGAUCAAGUUUCCAAGUAUGUGUCCCUGCUUCUGCUGCCUUCAUUUUGACCCUUUUUCAAGAACUCUUUCUUCAGUGAAUUGUGAAGCUUUGAGGCAGUGCUAAUGUGGACCUGUGAUCAAAUAAUAUCUUUAACUAUCUUCAAAAUUUCUAGUUUCUAAAAAAAAGUUGUGAGAGUUUUGCUAAACUUAGGGCGCUCAUGAUCUGGACUGGUGAUUGGUGCAGCUUUUGAAAACCCUGGUGCUAUAGUUAGUUGGCUAACUAGCCAACAACUAUCCCAAAUAGUACUAUGAGGAAUGUGGUCGUAGUCUUACAUUUAGAGACCCUGGAAGAUCCCCAGAAUCUGAUCUGUUACUGAAAACUCUGUGACUUGCCAAGACAGGUCUUUGGAUGUAAGAGGGUGUCUUAUGUUACUCUUUAAAGUUUUGGGGUUAGGGUUAACCCUAAAGUCGACUUCUGUGCAGAAAGAUAAGUUUUGAUUUUGGAUACACUUUCCUUUUUUAAAUUGUAGGCUUUUUCAAAAACUCACUUGUUUGAUCAUGAAAGUAGGAGUGAAAGUUUUAGGGUGUGUGAGUUACAGGGUUUUUGUGGUGAUUAAUUGUAACCGAUGAACAAAAAGUACAAAAGAAAUUUGUUUCUCGAAGAAUAACGUACAAUCCCUAACAUUUCAUCGAACUAAUUACCCAAUUAAAAAGCCAUUAUUUAACGGAACUGUAUUUUUCCCUAAUAUCUAGCGUCGCAGGUUUGGUUAGAGCAAAUCCAAACAGGUUGAAUCUUUUCCCCCCAUGUCUCAAGGCCAGGAUGCGUCAGGAGUCUGCCUGCGAGCCGUUUGACACUCUCCCAGUCAAUAACUCAUCAGGCUGUGGCACCGAGGGGUCAGACAGGUUCCUCUGCACAUUUCAGAUUCUAUCUCAAAGGAGCACAGGGACAUUAACCCAGAGUCAAACUGUCAUAAAACACCCUCUCUUUUCUAGGGGGGUGAGGGGUGAGAAAGAUGCUGUCAGAUAGUGUCUUGCAGUUUCCUCGCUGAUAGCUCAGACAGAAUGACAUGGAAACAGUUAAAUUGUUUGAUAGUGAGAAAGUUUUGUAUUCGAUGAUCGCCACACUGCUGGUUUCAGAUUGAGAAAAACACAGCUGGUAGAGAGAUUUCUGGGUGUAACCAGUGCUAAAUCAAUGUCUUUUCUGCCUUGGACAGUUAGAACAGUUAAAGGGAGUGUUCAGGUGCUGAGGGUGUAUCUACAACUGAGUAAUUUAGAUUUUGGGGUUUGGUUGAAAAACACAGAGUAGAUAACACUUUGUGGUUGACAAAGAAAACGAGAUCCGGUGUGUACCGACCGUUUGGCACGCGCUGCAUUCAGAUUCUGAUGUGUCCCUCUUUCACUCUUACCCUGCAGACAGGAAUCGGUGUUUGUAGUGUGGUUUUGUCAGCUAACCAGGUGGGUCCACCAUGCAAAAUAUUCAGCUUGUCAUGUGUGAAGUGUACUACCUCAACGGAGAGAGUGGUUUGCAGAGCUACUUGUCGGUUUCCUCUCCAACUUUCAGCAGUUUCUUUUGUGGCUAUGUGUAAUCCACUGAUGUAAACUGAUUUAAAGCCGUUUACAGUUGUAGUCAUUUCUUCAGAUCUAAUCCUUUUGUGUUUUAUAACAGUCGCAGAAGUGAAAAUGCCCACACAGUAUAGAAAAUAGAACGCUUCAAAAACUCCCCUUGAGAAGUAGGGCGAGUCAAAUUACUCCUGAACCCACAUACCUAAUUGAUUUAUUUACUACACCUGGCUUCAAUAAAUGGCACCAAAGCGCAGGUUACUGGUCUAUUUAACACUUCAACUGAGGUAUAAUUAACCUGCUGUAAUAGCUCAGGGGCCUCACCUGACUGGUUAACUUCAAACUCCCUCCAGCUUGUCCCCUCUGCUCUUUAAUGACCUGUAUCUCUCGCAUCAUCUGUGCAUCUUCUCUUGCUUCCUGAAUGGGGCCCACCAUUGAUCAGUGUGUAAUUUACGAGCUUUCAGUGAGUGGAAAUAGACGGGGGCUGGUUCUUGAGAGAUGAAAUAGGAGAUAGAGAACUUCAAAAAUAGUCUGAGAUGGAAAUGACGAUUAUUACAGGCACAUUUGAUUCAGAACGUAAUGAAUAUUUGUCUCCGAAGUCACGGCGGUUUCAACUCUUUUACUCGGUCGCUGAGGUUAUUAGCACAAGGAAGCACUGCUGACGUAACAACACUGCCGCUUUGAAUGACUGAGCCUCUUAUUCAUCAACCAACUGUUCCCAAAAUAUGCUUCAUCUUGUCCUUCCACAUUAUAUAGUGACUGUAACACACUGCAUUCACACGCACACACACACACACACACACACACUCAGCAACAGCUGUCAGAGCGGGGAAAGCCGAAACAGAGCAACUCUCCCUCCUCAACAUCCCAGCCUGCAACCGCAUCUUGCCGGCCUCUUUAAGAGGUCAAAGGUCAAAGUGGCAGCCUCUCUGAGUUGACCCUGAGUCCUGCGACCUCUGGAGUGCUGCAGGUCGCUACCCUGUCAACCUUGACUGACCACUUAAAAAACUCACCUGAGCCCUCCCUUCGGCGCUUAUCAGGCCCAUCUCGUCUGUCAGAACCUGUUAGUCACAUGACCCGCUGCCUGCGACGUCCUUUGAGCCGCUGACACUAACCCCUCAGAUAAUGACUCCUGCCUCGAUUAAUUCUCAGCUUGUUUGUGUCUC
Xyrichtys novacula (pearly razorfish) is the source of this 4613-nucleotide non-coding RNA. NCBI's taxonomy places the organism in Eukaryota, Metazoa, Chordata, Actinopteri, Labriformes, Labridae. The record is from the annotation of a GenBank genome assembly.